GCUGGCGUAGCUCAGUUGGUAGAGCAGCUGACUUGUAAUCAGCAGGUCGGGGGUUCAAAUCCCUUCGCCAGCUCCU
This 76-nucleotide transfer RNA is filed under the name Acidobacteriota bacterium. RNAcentral describes it as "Acidobacteria bacterium (sediment metagenome) tRNA-Thr". It matches the Rfam family "tRNA". From Rfam's summary of the family: Transfer RNA (tRNA) molecules are approximately 80 nucleotides in length. Their secondary structure includes four short double-helical elements and three loops (D, anti-codon, and T loops). Further hydrogen bonds mediate the characteristic L-shaped molecular structure. tRNAs have two regions of fundamental functional importance: the anti-codon, which is responsible for specific mRNA codon recognition, and the 3' end, to which the tRNAs corresponding amino acid is attached (by aminoacyl-tRNA synthetases). tRNAs cope with the degeneracy of the genetic code in two manners: having more than one tRNA (with a specific anti-codon) for a particular amino acid; and 'wobble' base-pairing, i.e. permitting non-standard base-pairing at the 3rd anti-codon position. The record is from RNAcentral. Lineage: Bacteria; Pseudomonadati; Acidobacteriota.